CAGUCGAGCGGACAGAUGGGAGCUUGCUCCCUGAUGUUAGCGGCGGACGGGUGAGUAACACGUGGGUAACCUGCCUGUAAGACUGGGAUAACUCCGGGAAACCGGGGCUAAUACCGGAUGGUUGUCUGAACCGCAUGGUUCAGACAUAAAAGGUGGCUUCGGCUACCACUUACAGAUGGACCCGCGGCGCAUUAGCUAGUUGGUGAGGUAACGGCUCACCAAGGCGACGAUGCGUAGCCGACCUGAGAGGGUGAUCGGCCACACUGGGACUGAGACACGGCCCAGACUCCUACGGGAGGCAGCAGUAGGGAAUCUUCCGCAAUGGACGAAAGUCUGACGGAGCAACGCCGCGUGAGUGAUGAAGGUUUUCGGAUCGUAAAGCUCUGUUGUUAGGGAAGAACAAGUGCCGUUCAAAUAGGGCGGCACCUUGACGGUACCUAACCAGAAAGCCACGGCUAACUACGUGCCAGCAGCCGCGGUAAUACGUAGGUGGCAAGCGUUGUCCGGAAUUAUUGGGCGUAAAGGGCUCGCAGGCGGUUUCUUAAGUCUGAUGUGAAAGCCCCCGGCUCAACCGGGGAGGGUCAUUGGAAACUGGGGAACUUGAGUGCAGAAGAGGAGAGUGGAAUUCCACGUGUAGCGGUGAAAUGCGUAGAGAUGUGGAGGAACACCAGUGGCGAAGGCGACUCUCUGGUCUGUAACUGACGCUGAGGAGCGAAAGCGUGGGGAGCGAACAGGAUUAGAUACCCUGGUAGUCCACGCCGUAAACGAUGAGUGCUAAGUGUUAGGGGGUUUCCGCCCCUUAGUGCUGCAGCUAACGCAUUAAGCACUCCGCCUGGGGAGUACGGUCGCAAGACUGAAACUCAAAGGAAUUGACGGGGGCCCGCACAAGCGGUGGAGCAUGUGGUUUAAUUCGAAGCAACGCGAAGAACCUUACCAGGUCUUGACAUCCUCUGACAAUCCUAGAGAUAGGACGUCCCCUUCGGGG
This 985-nucleotide ribosomal RNA is filed under the name Bacillus sp. (in: firmicutes). RNAcentral describes it as "bacterial SSU rRNA". It matches the Rfam family "Bacterial small subunit ribosomal RNA", at positions 59 to 1025 of the family's 1533-position model. The record is from RNAcentral. Lineage: Bacteria; Bacillati; Bacillota; Bacilli; Caryophanales; Bacillaceae.